AUAGAUCCGUAACUUCGGGAAAAGGAUUGGCUCUAAGGGUUGGGUACGUCGGGCCUUAGUAAGAAGCCCUGGGACCCGGUUGGGACUGCUUUGGGGGCAACCUCAUCGUGGACCCGGCCAGGACCUGGCGGUGGACGACUUUGGCUGCCUUUCGGGGCGUCUGGCGUACGCUUAACAACCAACUUAGAACUGGUACGG
RNAcentral lists this ribosomal RNA (198 nucleotides) under Stropharia rugosoannulata. Its description in RNAcentral is "partial 25S large subunit ribosomal RNA". It matches the Rfam family "Eukaryotic large subunit ribosomal RNA", at positions 1922 to 2122 of the family's 3401-position model. The record is from RNAcentral. Lineage: Eukaryota; Fungi; Basidiomycota; Agaricomycetes; Agaricales; Strophariaceae.